CUGCGGCCUAUCAGCUUGUUGGUGAGGUAAUGGCCCACCAAGGCGAUUACAGGUACGGGCUCUGAGAGGAGAAGCCCGGAGAUGGGUACUGAGACACGGACCCAGGCCCUAUGGGGCGCAGCAGGCGAGAAAACUUUGCAAUGUGCGAAAGCACGACAAGGUUAAUCCGAGUGAUUUCUGCUAAAGAAAUCUUUUGCAAGUCGUAAAACCACUAGUGAAUAAGGGGUGGGCAAGUUCUGGUGUCAGCCGCCGCGGUAAAACCAGCACCUCAAGUGGUCAGGAGGAUUAUUGGGCCUAAAGCAUCCGUAGCCGGCUCUGUAAGUUUUCGGUUAAAUCCAUACGCUCAACGUAUGGGCUGUCGAAAAUACUGUAGAGCUAGGGAGUGGGAGAGGUAGACGGUACUCGGUAGGAAGGGGUAAAAUCCUUUGAUCUAUCGAUGACCACCUGUGGCGAAGGCGGUCUACCAGAACACGU
Molecule: ribosomal RNA, 474 nt
Filed under: uncultured Nitrososphaerota archaeon
Lineage: Archaea; Thermoproteati; Nitrososphaerota
Description: bacterial SSU rRNA
Rfam family: Archaeal small subunit ribosomal RNA
Source: RNAcentral